Long non-coding RNA from Callorhinchus milii (elephant shark), 476 nucleotides. RefSeq lists it as uncharacterized. Lineage: Eukaryota; Metazoa; Chordata; Chondrichthyes; Chimaeriformes; Callorhinchidae. The record is from RefSeq and is a predicted model, not a curated record. The transcript has 2 exons.
GGCUUACUACUCCCCGGUAAAGCGAUCCGGCAAUGGAUUAACAACUGGCGCCUCACUGCAAGUCCUACCAAAUAGCACACCUCCCAACAUUUCAAGAGGCUAAAGAAGGAUACAGUAAAACAAAUAAAUGUAGUUGCCUACGCAAACUCCGACUGCUUCCGUUACCCUGUAGAGUGUUCCUUUUGGCUGGACAAACUAAUAUAUAUACCAGAUUUUGCCUUUUUGCACAGUUCAAGUGAUGGCUUCCACUUGUGACAUUUCAGGAAUAUUGAUUUUCGCUGCCAGUAUAGCGCAUAGUGUUUCCUCACCAUUGUUGUCUCUUGAUACACAUUGGACAUGGGUUGCUGUGUGAGAGGGUUUUUUCCCAAUGAACUUCUCGUAUUGGUUAUUAUUUUCCGUACUAUGCUGAAUAGUCUUUCACAUGAAAUGUUGCUGUGGGGAUUAAACAAAUUAAUUUUACAAAUUUUGAAACCAUA